AAAGUGUGGGAGGGAGGUUGUUUGGAGGUUAAAAAGAGGUAAUGGAGGAGAAGAUUUUAUGCAUAUGAGAGGGAUGGGGUCAGAGGUUGUGGGUUCUGAUGGAAAGGUUUGGUUAGAUGGGUUUGGUUCAAAAAGAGUUGGUAUGGAUGGUGUAGGUUCAGAUGAGGUAGGGAGUGAGGUUGUUGGUUGUUGAGAUUUAGAUUUUUCUGUGGGAGUGUUA
This 220-nucleotide long non-coding RNA is filed under the name Lathyrus oleraceus (garden pea). RNAcentral's name for it is "Pisum sativum (pea) long non-coding RNA (PSAT_LNC033741)". The record is from RNAcentral. Lineage: Eukaryota; Viridiplantae; Streptophyta; Magnoliopsida; Fabales; Fabaceae.